GAGUUUGAUCAUGGCUCAGAUUGAACGCUGGCGGCAGGCCUAACACAUGCAAGUCGGGCGGUAGAGAGAAGCUUGCUUCUCUUGAGAGCGGCGGACGGGUGAGUAAUGCCUAGGAAUCUGCCUGGUAGUGGGGGAUAACGCUCGGAAACGGACGCUAAUACCGCAUACGUCCUACGGGAGAAAGCAGGGGACCUUCGGGCCUUGCGCUAUCAGAUGAGCCUAGGUCGGAUUAGCUAGUUGGUGAGGUAAUGGCUCACCAAGGCGACGAUCCGUAACUGGUCUGAGAGGAUGAUCAGUCACACUGGAACUGAGACACGGUCCAGACUCCUACGGGAGGCAGCAGUGGGGAAUAUUGGACAAUGGGCGAAAGCCUGAUCCAGCCAUGCCGCGUGUGUGAAGAAGGUCUUCGGAUUGUAAAGCACUUUAAGUUGGGAGGAAGGGCAGUAAAUUAAUAACUUUGCUGUUUUGACGUUACCGACAGAAUAAGCACCGGCUAACUCUGUGCCAGCAG
RNAcentral lists this ribosomal RNA (511 nucleotides) under uncultured bacterium. RNAcentral describes it as "bacterial SSU rRNA". It matches the Rfam family "Bacterial small subunit ribosomal RNA", at positions 9 to 514 of the family's 1533-position model. The record is from RNAcentral.